RNAcentral lists this small RNA (287 nucleotides) under Histoplasma ohiense. RNAcentral's name for it is "hypothetical lncRNA". Lineage: Eukaryota; Fungi; Ascomycota; Eurotiomycetes; Onygenales; Ajellomycetaceae. The record is from RNAcentral.
GCCAUAUUGUGAGCAGAUGCCAAUCUUGCAGUCCCAUUCCAUCCCUAGUAUCACCUCCGGUGCACGAUAGAAGUCAGGCAUCACAUCACCCAGAUGCUUUCUUUCGCCAAUCCUAGCCCCUCCAAAGUCACAAAGAACUGGCGUGCCAUCGGUUAUGGGCAUAGAAUGGGACCGAUAGAUGGUACGGUCCCGAAGGACUUUGCGAGCGCUAGGAUGAUCUAACUCAGAUUGCUCGAUUUUGGAAAACACAGAGGGGCUCCGGGCACCUAAAACGAUAUUGUUAGGCG